AUACGUAGGGGGCGAGCGUUGUCCGGAAUGAUUGGGCGUAAAGGGCGCGUAGGCGGCCCGGUAAGUCUGGAGUGAAAGUCCUGCUUUUAAGGUGGGAAUUACUUUGGAUACUGUCGGGCUUGAGUGCAGGAGAGGUAAGUGGAAUUCCCAGUGUAGCGGUGAAAUGCGUAGAGAUUGGGAGGAACACCAGUGGCGAAGGCGACUUACUGGACUGUAACUGACGCUGAGGCGCGAAAGUGUGGGGAGCAAACAGGAUUAGAUACCCUGGUAGUCCACACUGUAAACGAUGAAUGCUAGGUGUAGGGGGUAUCGACCCCUUCUGUGCCGCAGUUAACACAAUAAGCAUUCCGCCUGGGGAGUACGGCCGCAAGGUUGAAACUCAAAGGAAUUGACGGGG
RNAcentral lists this ribosomal RNA (397 nucleotides) under uncultured bacterium. RNAcentral's name for it is "partial 16S ribosomal RNA". It matches the Rfam family "Bacterial small subunit ribosomal RNA", at positions 523 to 918 of the family's 1533-position model. The record is from RNAcentral.